UGCCAAUGGAGGCCAUAGAUUGGUGCUA
This 28-nucleotide non-coding RNA is filed under the name Mus musculus (house mouse). The record is from RNAcentral. Lineage: Eukaryota; Metazoa; Chordata; Mammalia; Rodentia; Muridae.